UCUCCUCUCUGCCCCCCACCUCCCUACCAGAUCCGGCGGCCUACGGCAGCAAUUUGGUCCUCCAGAUGCUGCGCAAACCUUAAAUUUUUCUCUUAGCUGGGACAAAAGAGUUCGAGAAAUCUUGGAUCUUUCGCCUAAUUGGGAUUGAAAAAAAAUUGUGCAGUUGGCAACUAGCAACGCCUAGUGUGUGUUUGUAUGGGGAUUGUUUUCAUAUUUUUUUGGGAGCCACCAGUAAAAUUUUCAACAGUCCUAUCGGCUCCGCAUACAGUCCAACAGGAGCACCUAAAACCAUCAGAAACUAAGGGGUUGUUCGGCAGUCCACCCACUCCCCGGUAUUUAAGAAUCUGCAAAGUACCAUUUUGCUCGUUCCAUAUUUUUUAACUGAAACUCCGUCAACUCCGGGAGCAGCCUCGUGGAGCGGAGGGCCUCCGAACAGGCCCUAACUCCUGGCAAUAUUGUCAAUACACUCCUCCACAAUGCACUCAACAAGUUCAGGUUCUCUGCUUGGGUGAGUGGAGGAAGCCGGGGCGGCGGCCCCGGGCUAUAGGCCAUGGCGUCUUGUCAUGGUGGUGGCCGGGACGGGCUCACCCGACGGAUCCUUGUCUGGUUGAAGUCCCGGCCGGAGUUUGCGCCUGCAUCUCACUCGCAGCUUGAGGUGCUGUUGUGUGGGUGUUGUCGCAGUUGAGCUUGGUGGUCGACGACGGAGGGUGCAAGGCGCAGCGGGAACAUCUCCGACGAUCUCCACGCUCAUGGGUGGUCCAGAUCUGCAGGCCUUUGUAGGGAUGGCCUAAACCUACGACUGCGGCGGCUCAGGAGGAGCUGAAAAUGCAGUUCCAUAGAAAGAAAGAAGAGUUGUUCGAUGUGCUGGUGGAGUUGUCAAGGACACACACGUACCCAAAUCUCUCCUGGGAGGCCCUCCAGGUCAAUCAGCUCGCUACUCGACUUGUUGGGAAGGUGGAGCCUAGGCCUGCUGACUACUACUGGCGCAGUUAUCGACUACAAGGCAGACUGUGGCGGACUCACGGGAAGAUAUCACAACACAACUCUAAAACAUAACUAAGUCAUACAAGCAUCAUAAUACAAGCCAGGGGCCUCGAGGGCUCGAAUACAAGU
RNA transcript from Triticum dicoccoides, 1113 nucleotides. RefSeq lists it as uncharacterized. NCBI's taxonomy places the organism in Eukaryota, Viridiplantae, Streptophyta, Magnoliopsida, Poales, Poaceae. The transcript is spliced from 3 exons. The record is from RefSeq and is a predicted model, not a curated record.